Molecule: unclassified non-coding RNA, 375 nt
Filed under: uncultured Actinomycetes bacterium
Lineage: Bacteria; Bacillati; Actinomycetota; Actinomycetes
Description: uncultured actinobacterium contains 16S-23S intergenic spacer region
Source: RNAcentral
UCCGGUUUGUCACCGGCAGUCUCCCAUGAGUCUCCAGCUUAAUGCUGGCAACAUGGGACAGGGGUUGCGCUCGUUGCGCCACUUAAGGCAACACCUCACGGCACGAGCUGACGACAGCCAUGCAGCACCUGUGCGGGCCCCCGAAGGGGCACCGUGUUUCCACGGCGUCACCCCGCAUGUCAAGCCCUGGUAAGGUUCUUCGCGUUGCGUCGAAUUGAGCCACAUGCUCCGCCGCUUGUGCGGGUCCCCGUCAAUUCCUUUGAGUUUUAGCCUUGCGGCCGUACUCCCCAGGCGGGGUGCUUAAUGCGUUAGCUUCGGCACGGAGGGAGUCGACACCCCCCACACCUAGCACCCAUCGUUUACGGCGUGGAAUAC